UCAUGGCUCAGAUUGAACGCUGGCGGCAGGCCUAACACAUGCAAGUCGAACGGUAACAGGAAGCAGCUUGCUUCUUGCUGACGAGUGGCGGACGGGUGAGUAAUGUCUGGGAAACUGCCUGAUGGAGGGGGAUAACUACUGGAAACGGUAGCUAAUACCGCAUAACGUCGCAAGACCAAAGAGGGGGACCUUCGGGCCUCUUGCCAUCGGAUGUGCCCAGAUGGGAUUAGCUUGUUGGUGGGGUAACGGCUCACCAGGCGACGAUCCCUAGCUGGUCUGAGAGGAUGACCAGCCACACUGGAACUGAGACACGGUCCAGACUCCUACGGGAGGCAGCAGUGGGGAAUAUUGCACAAUGGGCGCAAGCCUGAUGCAGCCAUGCCGCGUGUAUGAAGAAGGCCUUCGGGUUGUAAAGUACUUUCAGCGGGGAGGAAGGGAGUAAAGUUAAUACCUUUGCUCAUUGACGUUACCCGCAGAAGAAGCACCGGCUAACUCCGUGCCAGCAGCCGCGGUAAUACGGAGGGUGCAAGCGUUAAUCGGAAUUACUGGGCGUAAAGCGCACGCAGGCGGUUUGUUAAGUCAGAUGUGAAAUCCCCGGGCUCAACCUGGGAACUGCAUCUGAUACUGGCAAGCUUGAGUCUCGUAGAGGGGGGUAGAAUUCCAGGUGUAGCGGUGAAAUGCGUAGAGAUCUGGAGGAAUACCCGGUGGCGAAGGCGGCCCCCUGGACGAAGAC
Molecule: ribosomal RNA, 733 nt
Filed under: Shigella sp.
Lineage: Bacteria; Pseudomonadati; Pseudomonadota; Gammaproteobacteria; Enterobacterales; Enterobacteriaceae
Description: bacterial SSU rRNA
Rfam family: Bacterial small subunit ribosomal RNA
Source: RNAcentral